Molecule: transfer RNA, 63 nt
Filed under: Laticauda colubrina (yellow-lipped sea krait)
Lineage: Eukaryota; Metazoa; Chordata; Lepidosauria; Squamata; Elapidae
Description: tRNA-Cys
Source: RNAcentral
AACCCUGAGGUGUUUAACAUGUCAGACUGCAAAUCUGAAGUCGGCUAGUUUGCCCGGGGUUUC